RNAcentral lists this ribosomal RNA (514 nucleotides) under Leuconostoc citreum. Its description in RNAcentral is "partial 16S ribosomal RNA". It matches the Rfam family "Bacterial small subunit ribosomal RNA", at positions 65 to 565 of the family's 1533-position model. The record is from RNAcentral. Lineage: Bacteria; Bacillati; Bacillota; Bacilli; Lactobacillales; Lactobacillaceae.
CGCAGCGAGNGGUGCUUGCACCUUUCAAGCGAGUGNNNNNNNGGUGANUAACACGUGGAUAACCUGCCUCAAGGNNNNNNAUAACAUUUGGAAACAGAUGCUAAUACCGAAUAAAACUUAGUAUCGCAUGAUAUCAAGUUAAAAGGCGCUACGGCGUCACCUAGAGAUGGAUCCGCGGUGCAUUAGUUAGUUGGUGGGGUAAAGGCUUACCAAGACGAUGAUGCAUAGCCGAGUUGAGAGACUGAUCGGCCACAUUGGGACUGAGACACGGCCCAAACUCCUACGGGAGGCUGCAGUAGGGAAUCUUCCACAAUGGGCGCAAGCCUGAUGGAGCAACGCCGCGUGUGUGAUGAAGGCUUUCGGGUCGUAAAGCACUGUUGUAUGGGAAGAAAUGCUAAAAUAGGGAAUGAUUUUAGUUUGACGGUACCAUACCAGAAAGGGACGGCUAAAUACGUGCCAGCAGCCGCGGUAAUACGUAUGUCCCGAGCGUUAUCCGGAUUUAUUGGGCGUAAAG